AUUACUUUGGCAGAUUAGUGCAUUAAAUUUAGAAUUUAAAUAUUAUAAAAUUAUAAAGUAAUA
RNAcentral lists this transfer RNA (63 nucleotides) under Eupelmus sp. ZJUH_2016012. Its description in RNAcentral is "tRNA-Leu". The record is from RNAcentral. Lineage: Eukaryota; Metazoa; Arthropoda; Insecta; Hymenoptera; Eupelmidae.